Molecule: long non-coding RNA, 2419 nt
Organism: Coturnix japonica (Japanese quail)
Lineage: Eukaryota; Metazoa; Chordata; Aves; Galliformes; Phasianidae
Source: Ensembl
ACCCCAUAUAACCCAUAUCUGCCCAUAUCCCCCCAUAUAACCCCAUAUAAACCCAUAUCUUGCACCCAGUAAUCCCCCUAUAUAACCCCAUAUCUCCCCAUAUCCCCACCAAUAUAACCCCAUAUCGCCCAUAUCCCCCCAUAUCACCCAAUCCCCCCCAUAAUAACCCCAAUCUGCCAUAUCCCCCCAUUAUAACCCCAUAUCUGCCCCAUAUCGCCCCCAUAUAACACCCCAUAGUAACCCCACUAUCCCACCCAUAUGGCCCCAUAAGCCCCCCAAUUUCAGCCCCCAUAGACACCCAAUAUGCCCAUAGGCCCAUUGCCACCCCAUACCCACAAAUAUCCCCCCCAAAGCCACCCCCAUAUGACACCCAUAGACACCCCAUAGACCCUAGAGACACCCCACUAUAACAGCAUCCCCCAUAUCCCCCCAUAUAUCCCCCCAUAAGACCCCAAUAUAACCCACUAUACCCAUUAUACCCAACUAUAACCCAUAUCAAAUUGCCCUAUCCCACCCAUAUACCCAUAUAACCCCAUAUUAACCCAUUCUCCCCAUAUCCCCCAUUAUUCUCUCUCUAACCCAUAUUCUGCACCACUCCCCCCAUAUCCCACUUAUAAACCCAUAUAAACUCACCAUAUCGCCCCAUUCAUCCCCCCCAUAUUACCCCAUAUAACCCCAUAUCCCCCCAUACCCGCAGCCCCCGAUGCCUCCUCGCCCCAUAGCCGUGCCCUACAAGCCGCCCGUCGCCGCGCUCUGAGCUCGGCCCUAUUGAGGGAACUGAGGGACGAGAUGGGGGACGGCCCCGAACACGUGGGGGGCAGCCAGCCCCAUAGCCAGCAGCAAAGCCGUACAGCCCUUGAGGAAUCCUUGUUGUGUCGGCUGAGCGAGAGCCGCCAUCAGCGGGCACUGAGACGUCGUCAAUCUAUGGGUCAAUCUAUGGGGCAGGAGCCGCCAUUAAAUUCCAUCACCAACUUUGGGGCCUUUUCUGCCCUAUUGGAGACCACGGACCAGGUGGGUCUGACCCACAACCCCCCCAUUAAGCUCCUCCCACCUAAUUUGCAUCUCAUUUGCAUCUCAUUUGCAUCUCAGUUGCCUUUUAUACGUACCUUAUGUGCCUACUGUAAGUCCCCCCCUGCCUCAUUUGCAUCUCAUUUGCAUCUCAUUUGCCUUCUAUUCACUCCUUAUGUGUCUACUAUAAGCCUUUCUUGCCUCAUUUGCAUCUCGUUUGCAUCUCAUUUGCCUUGUAUAAGUUCUACAUGUGCCUACUAUAAGCCCCUCUCCACCUCAUUUGCAUCUCAUUUGCAUCUCAUUUGCCUUUUAUACGCUCCUUAUGUGUCUACUAUAAGCCCCUCCCCACCUCAUUUGCAACUCAUUUGCAUUUCAUUUGCCUUCUAUUCACUCCUUAUGUGUCUACUAUAAGCCCCUCCCACCUCAUUUGCAUCUCAUUUCCCUUUUAUUCGCUCCUUGUGUGUCUACUAUAAGCCUUUCUCGCCUCGUUUGCAUCUCGUUUGCAUCUCAUUUGCAUCUCAUUUGCCUUUUAUACGCUCCUUAUGUGCCUACUAUAAGCCCCUCCCCACCUCAUUGGCAACUCAUUUGCAUCUCGUUUGCCUUUAAUACGCUGAUGUGCCUACAAUAAGCCCCUCUGCCUAAUUUGCAUCUCAUUUGCAUCUUAUUUGCAUCUAAUUUGCCUUUUCUCGCUCCUUGUAUGUCUGCUAUAAGCCUUUCUCUCCUCGUUUGCAUCUCAUUUGCAUCUCAUUUGCCUUUUACACGCUCUUUAUGUGCCUACUAUAAGCCCCUCCCCACCUCAUUUGAAUCUCAUUUGCAUCUCAUUUGCCUUUUAUAAGCUCCUUAUGUGUCUACUAUAAGCCCCUCCCCACCUCAUUUGCAACUCAUUUGCAUCUCAUUUGCCUUUUAUUCGCUCUUUAUGUGCCUAAUAUAAGCCCCUCCUGCCUCAUUUGCAUCUUGUUUGCAUCUCAUUUGCAUCUCAUUUGCCUUUUAUAUGCUCCUCGUGUGUCUGCUAUAAACUUUUCCUGCCUCAUUUGCAUCUCAUUUGCCUUUUAUACGCUCUUCGUGUCUCAUUCACCUACUCUAAGCCCCUCCCACCUCAUUUGCAUCUCAUUUGCCUUUUAUAAGCUCAUGUGCCUACGACAAGCCUUUCCGGUCUCAUUUACAUCUCAUUUGCAUCUCAUUUGCCUUUUAUAAGCUCCUUAUGUGUCUACUAUGAGGCCCUCCACCUCAUUUGCAUCACAUUUGCAUAACAUUUGCCUUUUAUAAGCUCCUCACGUGUCUACGACUGCCCUUUCCUACCUCAUUUGCAUCUCAUUUGCAUCAGAUUUGCAUCUCAUUUGCCUUGUAUACGCUCCUCAUGCUUCACGUGCCUAUUAUAAGGCUUUCCCAUCUCAUUUGAAUCUCAUUUGAA